AAAUUCAAUCAGCAGCCUUAUCUAUAUUCGAUGAUACACCUACCUUCUUUGCACAUACAGACGAACUGGUUCAUCUUAUGGUUGGCGGUGCAGUUUUUAGCGAAGUUCUGCUUUUCCGAAGGACAUUGACACGGCAUGCAAGAGUUGUCCUGUGUUUUGUAAAAUCCUUCAGCGCAAUAUUCACAAUGAGGACCAUUGGUAUCGUUUCUGCAGUUC
Molecule: long non-coding RNA, 216 nt
Organism: Coccinella septempunctata (seven-spotted ladybird)
Lineage: Eukaryota; Metazoa; Arthropoda; Insecta; Coleoptera; Coccinellidae
Exons: 2
Source: RefSeq, a predicted model, not a curated record